Molecule: ribosomal RNA, 439 nt
Filed under: uncultured bacterium
Lineage: Bacteria
Description: partial 16S ribosomal RNA
Rfam family: Bacterial small subunit ribosomal RNA
Source: RNAcentral
CUACGGGGCGCACCAGUGGGGGAUAUUGCACAAUGGGGGAAACCCUGAUGCAGCAACGCCGCGUGGAGGAUGACACUUUUCGGAGCGUAAACUCCUUUUAUAUCCCAGGAUAAUGACGGUAGGAUAUGAAUAAGCACCGGCUAACUCCGUGCCAGCAGCCGCGGUAAUACGGGGGGUGCAAGCGUUACUCGGAAUCACUGGGCGUAAAGAGCGUGUAGGCGGGUUUGUAAGUUGGAAGUGAAAUCCACUGGCUUAACCAGUGAACUGCUUCCAAAACUACUUACCUAGAAUGUGGGAGAGGUAGAUGGAAUUUCUGGUGUAGGGGUAAAAUCCGUAGAGAUCAGAAGGAAUACCGAUUGCGAAGGCGAUCUACUGGAACAUAAUUGACGCUGAGACGCGAAAGCGUGGGGAGCAAACAGGAUUAGAUACCCCUGUAGUC